This 138-nucleotide unclassified non-coding RNA is filed under the name soil metagenome. RNAcentral describes it as "partial internal transcribed spacer 1". The record is from RNAcentral.
UCAAACAGCGGCCUUCGGGCCUCGCUGCACCCUUGUCUUUUGCGCACCGUAUUGUUUCCUCGGCGGGCUUGCCUGCCGGUUGGACAUCAUCAAAACCUUUUUGUAGUUGCAUCAGCGUCAGAAAACAAAUAAUUAUUA